RNAcentral lists this transfer RNA (74 nucleotides) under Schleiferia thermophila str. Yellowstone. Its description in RNAcentral is "tRNA-Cys". It matches the Rfam family "tRNA". From Rfam's summary of the family: Transfer RNA (tRNA) molecules are approximately 80 nucleotides in length. Their secondary structure includes four short double-helical elements and three loops (D, anti-codon, and T loops). The record is from RNAcentral. RNAcentral also lists the same sequence under 1 other name. Lineage: Bacteria; Pseudomonadati; Bacteroidota; Flavobacteriia; Flavobacteriales; Schleiferiaceae.
GGUUCUGUGGCCGAGUGGCUAGGCAGAGGUCUGCAAAACCUCGUACACCGGUUCGAAUCCGGUCGGAACCUCUA